GUUGGAUAUGACUGAGUGAGCACGCAUACACACACGCAGCAUAACAUAGCUGUUCUGUACUGUACUUUCUCACUGGGAGGUAUACGAUGUUCUCUGUUUUCUAGAAGAGGACCUACCUCUGAAAAGAAAAGAAAAUUUCCCAGUAACUCAGUGUUUUGAAAUAGAAUAACGUAUUCAACCAAGCCUACCAGGGCUGUGCUAACAGUUCCAUCCAACCAGAACCACAUUCCGUCUUACCAGUCCACCAGCUCCUUCAACAAUGACCCCUCUCAUUUCUGGUGCUCGGCUGAGGCCGUAUUCUCGGAGGCUCCCAGCUCUAAGAAAGAUGCUGAUGGCACCUCUGAUGACAGCUAGGCACAUGACCUGGGUCUGGCCAAUCAGAGCAUGUCCUCCCUUUUGCAGCAAUGAUUGAUUCAAGGUUGAAUAUAUAAUACACCUUUGCAAUGAGGCUCAACUGUAAAUCAACCUAGCACUUUUGCUUGAGACACAGGCCAAGAAUCAUCCUCUCUCCUCAUUGAACUUGAAACCGUGAGGCUGUGAGUCUGGAGCGUCUGGCAAGAAGUGUGCUUCCCUGAGAAGCAGAGAGGUGGAGAUAAGGUGAGUUGUGAUGCUAUCAUCUGAGGCAGUACUUCUGGUCACACCUGCGGUCACCUCUUCCGGGACGUCUUCAGUUUCAAGAGCUGAUAUAUUUACUUUUUUUUUUUUUUUUUGGCUUAAGCCAGUUUGAGUCAUUUGUCUAUAACUGAAAGAGUUCUGAUUGAUAUUAGAUGAUUGCUAGGUUGGCUUCAUAUUACAUGUGGAAAACUCUUGCUCUUUUAGAGAAGGGAGAGGGAAUCUAAGAAACCUUAGUGCCAGGAAAUUUUGCCUAGAAAAAAACUAGUGGGCACCUGGCCUGGUCAAGGGAGGCAGACCAGCUAGAAUUCAGAAUUAAAGGCUGCCUUAAACUAUCAUGAGAAUAUAUUAAUUCAAAUUAAAAUAUAUUAUUUUUAAGCAUUUGUGAUUAUUUAAAGUAUUUUGGGGGCUGGUG
Cervus elaphus (red deer) is the source of this 1027-nucleotide long non-coding RNA. RefSeq lists it as uncharacterized. NCBI's taxonomy places the organism in Eukaryota, Metazoa, Chordata, Mammalia, Artiodactyla, Cervidae. The transcript has 3 exons. The record is from RefSeq and is a predicted model, not a curated record.